RNAcentral lists this transfer RNA (66 nucleotides) under Anodonta cygnea. Its description in RNAcentral is "tRNA-Phe". It matches the Rfam family "tRNA". Rfam says of the family: Transfer RNA (tRNA) molecules are approximately 80 nucleotides in length. Their secondary structure includes four short double-helical elements and three loops (D, anti-codon, and T loops). Lineage: Eukaryota; Metazoa; Mollusca; Bivalvia; Unionida; Unionidae. The record is from RNAcentral.
GGAUAAAUAGUUUAAUUUAUAAAGAACGUAACACUGAAAAUGUUAAAAUGACAUAGUCUUUUUCCA